AUUGAACGCUGGCGGCAUGCCUUACACAUGCAAGUCGAACGGCAGCACGGGUGCUUGCACCUGGUGUCGAGUGGCGAACGGGUGAGUAAUACAUCGGUACAUUUCCUGUAGUUGUGGAUAGCCCGGCGAAAGCCGGAUUAAUUCCCCAUACGAUCUACGGGCUACAGCGGGGGACCUUCAGACUUCCGGCUGUAGGGUUUGCCGAGGGCGGAUAUGCUCGUGGUGGGGGUAAAGGCCUACCAAGGCGAGGAGCAGUAGCUGGUCUGAGAGGAGGACAAGCGACACGGGGGCUGGGACAGGGCCAAGAGUCCUACGAGAGGGAGCAGUGGGGAAUGUUGGACAAUGGGGGAAAGCCUGAUACAGCAAUGGGGAGUGUGUGAAGGAGGCCUUCGGGUUGUAAAGCAGUUUUGUCCGGAAAGAAAUGCUUGGCCCUAAUACGGUGGGGGGAUGACGGUACCGGAAGAAGAAGCACCGGCUAACUACGUG
Molecule: ribosomal RNA, 486 nt
Filed under: uncultured bacterium
Lineage: Bacteria
Description: partial 16S ribosomal RNA
Rfam family: Bacterial small subunit ribosomal RNA
Source: RNAcentral